Non-coding RNA from Endogone sp. FLAS-F59071, 74 nucleotides. The record is from the annotation of a GenBank genome assembly. NCBI's taxonomy places the organism in Eukaryota, Fungi, Mucoromycota, Endogonomycetes, Endogonales, Endogonaceae.
GCCCUCGUGGCGAAGCGGAUUAACGCGCUUCCCUCCGGAGGAAGAGAUCGCAGGUUCGAUCCCUGCCGAGGGCG